This 451-nucleotide long non-coding RNA is filed under the name Mytilus galloprovincialis (Mediterranean mussel). Lineage: Eukaryota; Metazoa; Mollusca; Bivalvia; Mytilida; Mytilidae. The record is from RNAcentral.
GUAAAUUCAGUAAAAAAUCUCCCAUUGACUUUAAUGCUAAUCUAUGUAUGGAAUUAAAUUUAUACCUGAUUUACCUUUAGAAAUUGGAAACUUUCAUAUAACAUUCAUGAAAGUAAAAAUGUAGCCCUAUCUUUUGCACUAAUAAAAACAUAGGGUCAUGCGGCAUUUUUGGGCAUUCACAUGGCCUUGUUUACAAACAAUGUAGAUUCGCACUGAAUUCCUAUACUGACCCCCAUUACUUUUCAACCCUGUAGUAAAAAAAAAUUAGUACAUUCAGCAUUUAUUUUUUUAUUUUUUUUCAACUCUAGUUUUGAUCCAUCUGCCAAAAAAUAUUUAUUACAAACAUUAUCUACCAAUCAGAAGAGCAUAUGACUUCAGUGUUAUACAGAAAGCUCUCCCCUAAAUGGGCGGUCCCUGAUGACGUAUAUUUAUUUACUGAAUUUACCCCUAA